Molecule: ribosomal RNA, 459 nt
Filed under: uncultured bacterium
Lineage: Bacteria
Description: partial 16S ribosomal RNA
Rfam family: Bacterial small subunit ribosomal RNA
Source: RNAcentral
CCUACGGGAGGCAGCAGUGAGGAAUAUUGGUCAAUGGCCGGGAGCCUGAACCAGCCAAGUCGCGUGAGGGACGAAGGUGCUAAGUAUUGUAAACCUCUUUUGCCAGGGGACAAAGUCAGCCACGGGUGGCCGUAAGAGGGUACCUGGAGAAAAAGCAUCGGCUAACUCCGUGCCAGCAGCCGCGGUAAUACGGAGGAUGCGAGCGUUAUCCGGAUUUAUUGGGUUUAAAGGGUGCGCAGGCGGCGUGUCAAGUCAGCGGUAAAAUGUCGGGGCUCAACCCCGGCCGGCCGUUGAAACUGGCGUUCUUGAGUUGGCGAGAAGUAUGCAGAAUGCGCGGUGUAGCGGUGAAAUGCAUAGAUAUCGCGAAGAACCCCGAUUGCGAAGGCAGCAUACCGGCUCCACACUGACGCUGAGGCACGAAAGCGUGGGUAUCGAACAGGAUUAGAUACCCCUGUAGUC